RNAcentral lists this ribosomal RNA (440 nucleotides) under uncultured bacterium. RNAcentral's name for it is "partial 16S ribosomal RNA". It matches the Rfam family "Bacterial small subunit ribosomal RNA", at positions 338 to 795 of the family's 1533-position model. The record is from RNAcentral.
CCUACGGGGGGCAGCAGUAGGGAAUAUUGCUCAAUGGGGGAAACCCUGAAGCAGCAACGCCGCGUGGAGGAUGAAGGUCUUCGGAUUGUAAACUCCUUUUGUUAGAGAAGAUAAUGACGGUAUCUAACGAAUAAGCACCGGCUAACUCCGUGCCAGCAGCCGCGGUAAUACGGAGGGUGCAAGCGUUACUCGGAUGCACUGGGUGUAAAGAGCGCGUAGGCGGGAUUGCAAGUCCGAUGUGAAAUCCUAUGGCUUAACCAUAGAACUGCAUUUGAAACUGUUAUUCUUGAGUGUGGGAGAGGUAGGUGGAAUUCUUGGUGUAGGGGUGAAAUGCGUAGAGAUCAGGAGGAACACGCAUUGCGAAGGCGACCUGCUGGAACAUAACUGACGCUGAUGCGCGAAAGCGUGGGGAGCAAACAGGAUUAGAUACCCUAGUAGUC